This 1079-nucleotide ribosomal RNA is filed under the name Salmonella enterica subsp. enterica serovar Typhimurium. RNAcentral's name for it is "partial 23S ribosomal RNA". It matches the Rfam family "Bacterial large subunit ribosomal RNA", at positions 549 to 1547 of the family's 2925-position model. The record is from RNAcentral. Lineage: Bacteria; Pseudomonadati; Pseudomonadota; Gammaproteobacteria; Enterobacterales; Enterobacteriaceae.
CCUGAAACCGUGUACGUACAAGCAGUGGGAGCACCCUUCGGGGUGUGACUGCGUACCUUUUGUAUAAUGGGUCAGCGACUUAUAUUCUGUAGCAAGGUUAACCGUAUAGGGGAGCCGGAGGGAAACCGAGUCUUAACCGGGCGUUAAGUUGCAGGGUAUAGACCCGAAACCCGGUGAUCUAGCCAUGGGCAGGUUGAAGGUUGGGUAACACUAACUGGAGGACCGAACCGACUAAUGUUGAAAAAUUAGCGGAUGACCUGUGGCUGGGGGUGAAAGGCCAAUCAAACCGGGAGAUAGCUGGUUCUCCCCGAAAGCUAUUUAGGUAGCGCCUCGUGAAUUCAUCUCCGGGGGUAGAGCACUGUUUCGGCUAGGGGGCCAUCCCGGCUUACCAACCCGAUGCAAACUGCGAAUACCGGAGAAUGUUAUCACGGGAGACACACGGCGGGUGCUAACGUCCGUCGUGAAGAGGGAAACAACCCAGACCGCCAGCUAAGGUCCCAAAGUCAUGGUUAAGUGGGAAACGAUGUGGGAAGGCCCAGACAGCCAGGAUGUUGGCUUAGAAGCAGCCAUCAUUUAAAGAAAGCGUAAUAGCUCACUGGUCGAGUCGGCCUGCGCGGAAGAUGUAACGGGGCUAAACCAUGCACCGAAGCUGCGGCAGCGAACGUAUCACCCAAGACAACUUUACGGAGUUGACGAUUGACGGAGCGAAGCGACGUCAAAGCGUUCAUUAAAGUCGAGUUGGCUUAGGGAUACGUUCGUUGGGUAGGGGAGCGUUCUGUAAGCCUGUGAAGGUGUGUCGUGAGGCAUGCUGGAGGUAUCAGAAGUGCGAAUGCUGACAUAAGUAACGAUAAAGCGGGUGAAAAGCCCGCUCGCCGGAAGACCAAGGGUUCCUGUCCAACGUUAAUCGGGGCAGGGUGAGUCGACCCCUAAGGCGAGGCCGAAAGGCGUAGUCGAUGGGAAACGGGUUAAUAUUCCCGUACUUGGUGUUACUGCGAAGGGGGGACGGAGAAGGCUAUGUUGGCCGGGCGACGGUUGUCCCGGUUUAAGCGUGUAGGUGUGUGUUCCAGGUAAAUCCGGUU